GUGGGAGCCUCCUCGCCCAGCCAGCCUUGUUCUAACAGCCUGCACUGACCCUGGCCGACUCUUCCAGAUGACACUGGUUGGAGAGGGCAGUCGGGAGGGGCAGUAUCAGGCUUCAAGCUGUGUGAAAGGGGAAGUUUUGCCCAGCAGCAAAUUCUCUCUGGAUUAAGAGCGUGGUGAUUGGCAGCCACAGUGAACUAGAGAGACGCGUCCUCCAGGGAAAGCCUACACCUCCUCCAAGGUGACCUCAGGAAAACAGCCUGGAUUCUGCAAUCACUGACUCACUGAUGAAAAAUCCAGGUGAAAAGAAAGGCGGGGCUUUCCUGCUGCCUUCAGUCUGGAGAUCUCAUUCCAGCUUCCCGCUGGGCACAAGGCGGGGUGGUGGAAGGAGCAGUUUUUGCAGGUGAAGAACGCUGGCCUCAUUGUACAGUCCCUGAAGGAGCCAUGUCCCUCUAACCUCUUCCACCCAGGAGGAUGACCCAGCAGCAGCGGAGCCCAUGCGGCAAACCCGCCACACCCAUGCACGGCAGGGCUGCGUCCAUCUCAAGCCAGCGCCCCGAGUCAUCCACAGGAACACCGCCAAUGCACUCCCAGCCAGCCCCUCUGUCCUCCUGGCCUCCCUGAGAGGCUGCUGGGGGACGUCCCACCUCACAGCAAGGAAGGAGUGCCUGUCUUUGUCCAAAAUCGGUGCG
Cebus imitator (Panamanian white-faced capuchin) is the source of this 689-nucleotide long non-coding RNA. RefSeq lists it as uncharacterized. The record is from RefSeq and is a predicted model, not a curated record. Lineage: Eukaryota; Metazoa; Chordata; Mammalia; Primates; Cebidae. The transcript has 3 exons.